GUCUAGAUAGUUUAUUUAUAGAAUAAUAAUUUGUGGUGUUAUAGGUGUAUAUUUACUCUGGAUC
RNAcentral lists this transfer RNA (64 nucleotides) under Pseudomictis brevicornis. Its description in RNAcentral is "tRNA-His". Lineage: Eukaryota; Metazoa; Arthropoda; Insecta; Hemiptera; Coreidae. The record is from RNAcentral.